This 102-nucleotide microRNA precursor is filed under the name Mustela putorius furo (domestic ferret). RNAcentral describes it as "microRNA 99a (ENSMPUG00000020696.1)". The stretch from base 17 to 88 matches the Rfam family "mir-10 microRNA precursor family". Rfam says of the family: In this case the mature sequence comes from the 5' arm of the precursor. Lineage: Eukaryota; Metazoa; Chordata; Mammalia; Carnivora; Mustelidae. The record is from RNAcentral.
GUGAGAUGUUGCCCAUUGGCAUAAACCCGUAGAUCCGAUCUUGUGGUGAAAUGGACUGCGCAAGCUCGCUUCUAUGGGUCUGUGUCAGUGUGGUAAUCUAAC